GGGGAUGUAGCUCAGCUGGGAGAGCGUACGGUUCGCAUCCGUAAGGUCGAGAGUUCAAUCCUCUUCAUCUCCACCA
RNAcentral lists this transfer RNA (76 nucleotides) under Pectinatus cerevisiiphilus. RNAcentral's name for it is "tRNA-Ala". It matches the Rfam family "tRNA". From Rfam's summary of the family: Transfer RNA (tRNA) molecules are approximately 80 nucleotides in length. Their secondary structure includes four short double-helical elements and three loops (D, anti-codon, and T loops). The record is from RNAcentral. RNAcentral also lists the same sequence under 1 other name. Lineage: Bacteria; Bacillati; Bacillota; Negativicutes; Selenomonadales; Selenomonadaceae.